GAACAUAUCCCUAGUGGAAGCAAAACCCUCUUUAGAAAUUAAAUGAGCUGAUUGAUUCCCUUCUCUCGGGAUGAGCUUGAAAAUACACUGCUCAAACCAUGUAGGGAGAGCUUUUCCAUCCUCGAUAAUUGCACUGAUGCUUGAUCUGUCCAGCUGCUUUCCAGAAAGUUUCCUGAUAACCGAACAGGAAUCUCCUUCGAGUUCGAUGUAGGAGAACCGCAUGUCAGUCGCGAAUCUUAGACCACGAAUCGCUGCCCUAGCUUUGGCGUCAAAUAGGUCAGGCUUGUCAACGAGAACCUGGUUGGAGUGAUAGACCAAGCCUGAAGCAAGCAAUUUGUACCCACUUCUCACAGAGUAUAAGCUAGAGUAAUCAGUCUACCAGACCAGCAUAUCCAGAACGGGAGCAUGGGCAAUGGGCACACAGAGAAUCUUUCGGACCUCGUCAGCAUUACUAUUAGGUAGAAACAAUUCAGAGACAUAAGAGACGCCACUAAUUCUGGGAGAUUAAAUUUUACAGGGACUAGUAUCGGAUAGCCAGCGAUCCUCCCAAAUCAAAAGAGAGGUACCAUCCCCCACUCUUCACUUUAAUCCUGCAUUGAACUCCAAAUGUUUUUCGACAUAAGGAUGACUCCCUAACUCGAGCCGAAGGAAAUCAAUGUGGAAAAUACUUGGCCUUCAAAAACCUACCGACUAAAGAGUGUGGGUUGGUGAUAAGCCUCCAACCCUGCUUUGCUAAUAGAGAAAUACUAAAUUUCACCAAAUCUAUGAAUCCAAGGCCCCCUUUCUCUUUGGCCACACAAGGCACGACCACGAGCACGAAUGUAUACUACGUUUUUGUCGAGAUUGUUGCCACUAGUACUAGCUAAUAAUGGAUUCCAAUUCGUUACAAA
Molecule: long non-coding RNA, 890 nt
Organism: Gossypium arboreum
Lineage: Eukaryota; Viridiplantae; Streptophyta; Magnoliopsida; Malvales; Malvaceae
Exons: 2
Source: RefSeq, a predicted model, not a curated record